This 171-nucleotide small RNA is filed under the name Cyanistes caeruleus (blue tit). RNAcentral's name for it is "TUC338 (ENSCCEG00000016219.1)". The record is from RNAcentral. Lineage: Eukaryota; Metazoa; Chordata; Aves; Passeriformes; Paridae.
UUGACAACACUGAGGGGUCUUUAUCUACAGAGCAGUUAAAACCCAGGCACUGGCAAUGAAAGCUUUCUGCCAUGCUGGUGCCUGAUGAAGUGCCUCCACCCUGGGCAGGAGAGGCUGUCUCUAGGACUGAGGAGGAGAGCAUUUCCUUGGUCCAUUCAGUCUUUGACUUUU